GACGAACGCUGGCGGCGUGCUUAACACAUGCAAGUCGAACGGAAAGGCCCUGCUUGCAGGGUACUCGAGUGGCGAACGGGUGAGUAACACUUGGGUGAUCUGCCCUGCACUUCGGGAUAAGCCUGGGAAACUGGGUCUAAUACCGGAUAGGAGCCAUUUUUAGUGUGAUGGUUGGAAAGUUUUUUCGGUGUAGGAUGAGCUCGCGGCCUAUCAGCUUGUUGGUGGCGUAAUGGCCUACCAAGGCGGCGACGGGUAGCCGGCCUGAGAGGGUGGACGGCCACAUUGGGACUGAGAUACGGCCCAGACUCCUACGGGAGGCAGCAGUGGGGAAUAUUGCACAAUGGGCGCAAGCCUGAUGCAGCGACGCCGCGUGGGGGAUGACGGCCUUCGGGUUGUAAACUCCUUUCGCUAGGGACGAAGCUUUUGUGACGGUACCUAGAUAAGAAGCACCGGCUAACUACGUG
This 464-nucleotide ribosomal RNA is filed under the name uncultured bacterium. RNAcentral describes it as "partial 16S ribosomal RNA". It matches the Rfam family "Bacterial small subunit ribosomal RNA", at positions 28 to 507 of the family's 1533-position model. The record is from RNAcentral.